GGAGAACACUGUUGGUAAGAUGCUGGAUAGACUGAAGAUAUUCAAGGUUGAUGGACCCGAGCCUCUUGCAUCCAUACCUGAGACAGACGGAAAAGAAAAUGUCCUGUUUUAAGGAUACAAGCAAGAGCAACAUCAGCUUCUCUUCUGGUCUGACAUCCAGCUCAUGCACCUGGCAGAGCUCUGCAAACUUGACAAGCAGUAGAGAAACCUGAACUGCUGUGGGAGACAAAGUAUGCAGUUUGGAGCUAUGCACUGGAUUCCCUUUGUUUGGCUACCUCUGUGAAACCAGAAUCUUGACUUCUGAGUAGUGGCAGAAAUGGAAAAGUACUGCGCAGAAGGCUCAGGCUGGCUGAACAUCCUCCCCAGAGCCUGCACUGCAGAGCAGUCAGUGUUGGCUCAGACCCACAGCCCGGAAGAAAGGUCAGGAACCAGGCUGUCUGGCACAAGCUAUGCGUGUGAAGACAUUCUGGAUCACAGCCCUUUGGAACAGGAGGAGCAUUUUAAAU
Long non-coding RNA from Coturnix japonica (Japanese quail), 506 nucleotides. RefSeq lists it as uncharacterized. NCBI's taxonomy places the organism in Eukaryota, Metazoa, Chordata, Aves, Galliformes, Phasianidae. The record is from RefSeq and is a predicted model, not a curated record.